AGCUAAUAGAAUUAACAUCUUUGAGCUUUUUUGGAGUUUUGUGAAACCAUUAAGGUGGUUUCCUGGGAAAUAAAAUGUAACUGGCAAGAGCUGGUGCAACUAAAUAAUAUAGCUCUCGUUGUCGCUGUAGCGGCUAAUGUGGACUCACCGUAAUGUUAUAAUUUUGAUAGAGCUGGGGUGCAUGUUGAUAAAAAGCAUUAAGUGAGCGUAGACGCACGGCUACGGUAUAAAUUUGGCAAAAAUUAUUGCAAGACCAGCUGAUAGCAUCGAGUUGUAAAGAGGACACGCAGCUAGUUUGCGGACAUAACAACACCCUGUGCCGGAGCGCAGUUUUCCCUUGGUGCAGAAACUGGCCCACCCCACCAACCCGACGAGAGGACUACUGGAUUCGAGGAACGAAAUGUGUGGCGGAUUUAGCUGUUCGAAGAAUGCGCUGAUUGCGCUUAAUGUCCUGUAUGUGUUGGUUGGCUUCCUGCUGAUCGGAGUCGGGGUGUACGGUCGGGCGGCCUCGAUCGUAACCAACCUGCCGAUAAUCAGCGGGAUCCUGGUCUGCGGUGUCAUCCUGAUACUGAUAUCCGUGCUUGGUUUGAUUGGCGCGGUCAAGCACCAUCAGGUGAUGCUGUUCUUCUACAUGAUCAUAUUAUUCCUGCUGUUCCUGAUUCAGUUCUCGAUCGCCUGCAGCUGCCUAGCAGUUAGUGCCGAGCGGCAGCAUCAGUUCGCCGAGCAGGGCUGGACACUGGCGUCGAUUGAGAUUAAGAAGGAGGUCCAGGACAAGUUCCUGUGUUGCGGAUUCAACUCGACAACCACCGGCAGCGGCGCGAAUGAUGAUGUUUCUUCGCAUCCUUCCUGCGAGCAAGUACAGCUGAAGUGUUGCCCGGCCGGAUGGCUUAAUAACUGUCAUUGUCCGCCAUGUAGCAUCAUGCUCGAGGACAGCAUCGGCUACGCCUUCCGGUUGUCAGGCGGAAUCGGGCUGUUUUUCAGCCUAACCGAGAUCCUUGGUGUAUGGCUUACUGUGAGAUACCGAAAUCAGAAGGAUCCUCGCGGUAACCCAAGUGCAUUCCUUUAAAUUUGCUCACAUUCGGCAUGUCCAACGUGCUGGGAUUUCAAAUACUUUCCCUACACCUUCCCUACUUCCUAUCUUCCCUUGCGUCCACCGUUGCUCACGGCGAACACGAAUGAUAAUCGCUAUCUUCCUGGCGCGUCAUUACCGUAAUCAGCAGGAUCCGUAUCACUUACCGGCACGUGCCAUUUUCCCACACAGUAACUACGUUUACUAAAAAGUAUCGAAUACGUCGUUUAUUUGUGAUGGUUGGCCAGCUUUCAGAACGAAGCAGAGGAAUUCGAAAAAAGGAAUGUGAUAGGCUGAAGGAGGUGUUAGCGAUUUCGGCAUGUACCGACAUGCUUUCCAAAGAGAUUGGCCAGACCGGUGGUGGCCUCGGGGUGGAGUUAGCGAUUCUUCUCCAUGCAGAAACUUCUACAAGAAAUCUCAGUUAUAAAAUAGCACUGAAAGGCGGCUCGAUGUUCCAUUAGCGAAAAUUUCCUCAUCAAAUACUCAUUAUAUAUCUUUUAAAGUAUCGGUAAAAAGCCGCAGUAGGGAUAGUCUUUUUUUUAUUUGCGCUGAAUGUUUUUUUUUAUUUUAAUUAGAGUGACAUUAAUUGAUACAGAUUCCGUGUAGGUAAGGGAACAUAGGCUACAAAGAUCAAUCACUAUAGCAAUAGGGAAUCUGAACCAUUUACCUCGUGCUGCGUGUUUCUGAUACUUUUGUUCAAGUUAUUCACUUGCAUACCUUGUUCCAAGUCCUUUUGAGCUGCCAAUUAUUUUAGCCUGUACGACGAGUGUGACGAGAUUCUAUGUCAAUGAAGGAGGAACGACGGUGUCCUAUAUUGUAAAGAGGAAGGAAGAUGCGUGAGACAAUGGAGCAACUAUGGUGAUCAUGAUUUCUACAGCGUAGAAGGCGGCUAAUAUAACAGCACCAUCGAAUUUACAAAGCCCUGCGCACUAUUUAAACAGCAUAAGCCGUGAGCAUCAUCUCUCGUUUAGCUCAAUCGAUGAUCGAUCGCCCACAAGCCACGGGAUGAAACUGUGUUGCAAAAAAGGUAUGCAGGGGCGAGGCGGCAUAAAACAAAAUACUCUGAACUCCAAAAUGAGCGCUCGAUACCCCUGGUCUGUACACCAAAGUCAUCACAAAUGGAUGAGUUUGGUUUUUGGUAAUUAUUAUGAUUUGUCUACUGCAUCGAUGUUAUGUCGAACGCAAACCGCUUCCAUCUUACCGACACAAACUGAAGUUUAACAAAACGCUUUGCUUUGCAAAAGGUGCUCCCGUUCGCGUUUUCCCUUCGAACAAAUAGAGCAGAUGUGGGACACAACAAUGGCAGUGCAGUUAUAUUCUCAACGCCCCGUAUCCUAUAUGUAAACGCAUGUAUGUGUGUGUGUGGAUGUGUGUGUUGUAUGUGUGAUAAUUAUAAGCAAACCGUAUAGCCAAGCUUCUCGUGAUGAUUUAAUACAAAAUGACUGAAUAAAUAUACUUUCCCUUUUAUUUUCUUUAA
RNA transcript from Anopheles aquasalis, 2546 nucleotides. It is a transcript of the gene named Tetraspanin 97E, with no coding region annotated. The record is from RefSeq and is a predicted model, not a curated record. NCBI's taxonomy places the organism in Eukaryota, Metazoa, Arthropoda, Insecta, Diptera, Culicidae.